GGAAGAGCACACUCAGCUUGAUGGCCAGCUACCUGUCAAGCCUCUCCACCCAGUCCUCCAUCUUUCAGCUCUUCAGGCAGACGGCCUGGUGAAGGAGCUGCUGAUGGUCAGUCUCUUCUUGAGAGUGACCAUCUUCCUCUCUACAGUCCCAGAUGUCCUUCAAGGUCUUCUUUCUCACCCCUCCAGCCUCUCCUCCUUUUUCCUCCUGACCUUCCUGAGCAGCAGCUCCUCCCUCUCUGAUGUCAGUCAUCCACAUCCACCCCAUCCUCGGUGAUUUCAAAUCACCUUUGAUUGUUGCACUGCUCCUCGUGUCAUUUAAGAUGUCCUGCAAAUUAACGGUGUAUUAAAUUAGACAGCAGCAGUCAGUCAUGGAGCUCUACCACCACCCAGUGAUUUGCAGUGGACCUGCAGCAGGCUGUGACACCAGGAUGUUGGCGUGGUGGCAUCACAGCAGAAAAAAUAGCUCAAGUGGUGGCGUAGUGCAGGGGAGUGCAGAGUACAGACAAAUAUCUGUGCGGUGAAAGCUCAGAAGCUGAUGAGUAUUCAGAGGAAGACACCAACACGUCUGCAAGCAAUCACUGCACUGGGAUAGUGUUAGUAAGGAUGUCAUUGAUUAGCAGGCGGCAACAAAGGAGGCAGACUGGUAAAGGCUCUUAUUAAUGGAAACCACAGCUAAAAUGCUUUC
This is a long non-coding RNA of Siniperca chuatsi (mandarin fish), 685 nucleotides long. RefSeq lists it as uncharacterized. The record is from RefSeq and is a predicted model, not a curated record. Lineage: Eukaryota; Metazoa; Chordata; Actinopteri; Centrarchiformes; Sinipercidae. The transcript is spliced from 3 exons.